This 301-nucleotide ribosomal RNA is filed under the name uncultured bacterium. Its description in RNAcentral is "partial 16S ribosomal RNA". It matches the Rfam family "Bacterial small subunit ribosomal RNA", at positions 509 to 807 of the family's 1533-position model. The record is from RNAcentral.
CAGCAGCCACGGGAAAACGAAGGGGGCUAGCGUUGCUCGGAAUGACUGGGCGUAAAGGGCGCGUAGGCGGCUGACACAGUCAGAUGUGAAAUUCCUGGGCUCAACCUGGGGACUGCAUUUGAGACGUGUUGGCUUGAGUGGAGAAGAGGGUCGUGGAGUUUCCAGUGUAGAGGUGAAAUUCGUAGAUAUUGGAAAGAACACCGGUGGCGAAGGCGGCGACCUGGUCUUUAACUGACGCUGAGGCGCGAAAGCGUGGGGAGCAAACAGGAUUAGAUACCCGCGUAGUCCCUGUCUCUUAUAC